RNAcentral lists this ribosomal RNA (250 nucleotides) under uncultured bacterium. Its description in RNAcentral is "partial 16S ribosomal RNA". It matches the Rfam family "Bacterial small subunit ribosomal RNA", at positions 524 to 773 of the family's 1533-position model. The record is from RNAcentral.
CACGUAGGGGGCAAGCGUUGUCCGGAAUUACUGGGCGUAAAGAGCGCGUAGGUGGAUAUUUAAGUCAGGUGUGAAAGGCCAGGGCCUAACCCUGGGAUUGCACUUGAAACUGAAUAGCUUGAGGGCAGGAGAGGUAAGUGGAAUUCCCAGUGUAGCGGUGAAAUGCGUAGAUAUUGGGAGGAACACCAGUGGCGAAAGCGACUUACUGGCCUGGUUCUGACACUGAGGCGCAAAAGCGUGGGGAGCGAAC